This 467-nucleotide ribosomal RNA is filed under the name uncultured bacterium. Its description in RNAcentral is "partial 16S ribosomal RNA". It matches the Rfam family "Bacterial small subunit ribosomal RNA", at positions 28 to 506 of the family's 1533-position model. The record is from RNAcentral.
GACGAACGCUGGCGGCGUGCUUAACACAUGCAAGUCGAACGGAAAGGCCCUGCUUUUGUGGGGUGCUCGAGUGGCGAACGGGUGAGUAACACGUGAGUAACCUGCCCUUGACUUUGGGAUAACUUCAGGAAACUGGGGCUAAUACCGGAUAGGAGCUCCUGCUGCAUGGUGGGGGUUGGAAAGUUUCGGCGGUUGGGGAUGGACUCGCGGCUUAUCAGCUUGUUGGUGGGGUAGUGGCUUACCAAGGCUUUGACGGGUAGCCGGCCUGAGAGGGUGACCGGCCACAUUGGGACAGAGAUACGGCCCAGACUCCUACGGGAGGCAGCAGUGGGGAAUAUUGCACAAUGGGCGGAAGCCUGAUGCAGCAACGCCGCGUGCGGGAGGACGGCCUUCGGGUGGUAAACCGCUUUCGCCUGUGACGAAGCGUGAGUGACGGUAAUGGGUAAAGAAGCACCGGCUAACUACGU